CCGGGCGCACGGGUGAGUAACGCGUAUGCGACCUGCCCGUUGCAGGGGGAUAAUCGGGAGAAAUCCCGUCUAAUACCGCGUAACGCCGCGGGGCUGCAUGGCCCUGCGGCCAAAGGGAGCGAUUCCGGCAACGGAUGGGCAUGCGUGACAUUAGCUAGUUGGCGGGGCAACGGCCCACCAAGGCGACGAUGUCUAGGGGUUCUGAGAGGAAGGUCCCCCACACUGGUACUGAGACACGGACCAGACUCCUACGGAAGGCAGCAG
RNAcentral lists this ribosomal RNA (264 nucleotides) under uncultured bacterium. Its description in RNAcentral is "partial 16S ribosomal RNA". It matches the Rfam family "Bacterial small subunit ribosomal RNA", at positions 94 to 354 of the family's 1533-position model. The record is from RNAcentral.